RNAcentral lists this ribosomal RNA (548 nucleotides) under uncultured Glomeromycotina. RNAcentral's name for it is "SSU rRNA". It matches the Rfam family "Eukaryotic small subunit ribosomal RNA", at positions 548 to 1097 of the family's 1831-position model. The record is from RNAcentral. Lineage: Eukaryota; Fungi; Glomeromycota.
UUGGAGGGCAAGUCUGGUGCCAGCAGCCGCGGUAAUUCCAGCUCCAAUAGCGUAUAUUAAAGUUGUUGCAGUUAAAGAGCUCGUAGUUGAAUUUCGGGGUUAGUAGGUUGGUCGUGCCUCAGGUAUGUACUGAUCUCACUGAUUCCUCCUUCCUGAUGAACCGUAAUGCCAUUAAUUUGGUGUUGCGGGGAAACUGGACUGUUACUUUGAAAAAAUUAGAGUGUUUAAAGCAGGCUAACGCUUGAAUACAUUAGCAUGGAAUAAUGAAAUAGGACGUUCGAUCCUAUUUUGUUGGUUUCUAGGAUUGACGUAAUGAUUAAUAGGGAUAGUUGGGGGCAUUAGUAUUCAAUUGUCAGAGGUGAAAUUCUUGGAUUUAUUGAAGACUAACUACUGCGAAAGCAUUUGCCAAGGAUGUUUUCAUUAGUCAAGAACGAAAGUUAGGGGAUCGAAGACGAUCAGAUACCGUCGUAGUCUUAACCAUAAACUAUGCCGACUAGGGAUCGGAUGAUGUUAAUUUUUUAAUGACUCAUUCGGCGCCUUACGGGAAA